Long non-coding RNA from Lolium rigidum, 1117 nucleotides. RefSeq lists it as uncharacterized. NCBI's taxonomy places the organism in Eukaryota, Viridiplantae, Streptophyta, Magnoliopsida, Poales, Poaceae. The transcript has 3 exons. The record is from RefSeq and is a predicted model, not a curated record.
CGAACCAAGCGGCCACCUCUCGCCCCCAGUCCGCCGCCAUCACUCGUCCCCAAUCCGCCUCCUCCCCUCCUAGAAUCCACGUCCUCUCUCGAUUUCCCCUCCACGGCCUCCUCUCGAUUUGCACUCCGAGAGCUCUGAUGGCGACGGCGGUCGGACUGAAGUUGGGCGACAGUGAGCAGGACGGGAACAGCUCGUCGUCUCGUGGACGGCCGGGGGCUGCGCGACGGCCGAUCCCCAUCGAUGGCGGCGGCGGUCGGACUUUAGUGGGGCGGCAGCGAGCAGGACGGUAACCGCUGGUCGUCUCGUGGACGGCUGAUCCCCGCCGUCUACCGGAGAUUCGUCGGUGCACAUCGAUCUGGCUACUGUGCCCCUCCAGUGGAAGCUGCACAACCCCGCUAUGUCCUCAUCUUCUCGGAAAGGGCAACUUACCAUCGGGCUCGCCUCCUGCUAAUUUCCAAGGACGAUCCUGAUGAACAUGCUGAAGAAACACACAUGCUCUCCACCUGGAGAACACUUUUAGGAUGUGCUGAGUUUUUAUAGAGCGCCUCAAGGAUGUGCUGAGUUUUUAUAGAGCGCAUCAAGGAUGUGCUACAAGAGGGGAAGGUUUUGUAUCAGGAAAUUCAUGUGCAACCCGUCUGUAGAGCGCCUUUUCAUGGUUCAGUUCACGAAGUUUAUCGUUGUUGAAGAGAGGCCUGGGUUGGAAGAUGGUUGGAAGACAACUACUCCAGUUGACAAGGAGAACAAUGAAAGGAACUAUUCUGAAGGGCAAAGAAGUAAAGCUGAAAGCUACAAGGAAGCAAUGGAGCAAUUUGAGAACGUGGCCACAGAUCUUUCGCGAGAUGCUAAAAAGGUGAUAAGAAAACAAAAGGAACACAAGAAGUUGUAGUAACUGGUGCAUUGUUUUGGUCUUCCCAAGGUUGUAAAAAGCUUGGAAUGAAUCAGGGCCCCAAUCAUACCUACAACUGAUGAAGUUUUAUGUACAUACCUAAGCUCCUGUGUUUUAUUUCUAUAUUGGGUACUGUAUGACCCUGUUUUGCUACCACUCCCUUUUGGGUGAACCUAACUAACAAACAAUGUAUUAGUUCUACUCUAUUAGCUUAUUGCUAUAAGAAAUUGC